Long non-coding RNA from Girardinichthys multiradiatus, 4700 nucleotides. RefSeq lists it as uncharacterized. Lineage: Eukaryota; Metazoa; Chordata; Actinopteri; Cyprinodontiformes; Goodeidae. The record is from RefSeq and is a predicted model, not a curated record. The transcript is spliced from 2 exons.
CACACAGUGUGCAGGGGGCGUUGACUUUCUGCAGAGUCAGUCGCUACAGACCUCCAAACUUCAUGCUGCCUUCAGAUUAGCUCAAGAACAGUGCGAAGAGAGCUUUAUGGAAUGGGUGUCCAUGGCCGAGCAGCUGCAUCCAAGUCAAACAUCACUAAGUGCAAAGCAAAGUGUCGGAUGCAAUGGUGUAAAGCACGCCGCCACUGGACUGUAGGGCAGUGGAGACACCUUCUCUGGAAUGACAAAAUGCGCUUCUCCAUCUGGCAAUCUGAUUGGACCAAUAAAGAUUCAUAAAGACAUGGAAGAGAGAAGAGAGAGUUUGGUGUGUAUGAGCUCGACUAGACUGCACAGAGGCCUGACCUCGACCCGACAGAACACCUUUGAGAUGAAUUACAGCAAAGACUGAGAAUCAUGCCUUCUGGUCCAACAUCAGUCUCUGACCACACAAAUGCGCUUCUGGAGGAAUGGUCAAAAUUUCCCAUGAACACGUUCCUAAACCUUGUGGACAGCCGUGCCGGAAGAGUUAAAUCUGUUAUUGCUGCAAAGAAUGGACCAAAGUCACAUUGAACAGUAUGGAUCAAGAAUGGGAGUGAGUCAAGGCAGGAUCAGAUUUAUCAACAUUAGCAGCUGUGAUCAGAUGAGGUGUGUGGUGAUGAGGCCGAGCGUGUGAGGUCAGCACUGAUCUCUCAAACGAGGGACGGCCCGUCUUAAUGGGACCAGGGUCUUAUCAGAGGAAUCUAAAGAGCUCCCUGAAGUUCACCUCAGUUUAACCGCAAGCUUUCAGUUGACACAUAUAUGGCCCAGUGAUGUACUCUGGAGGGAGGACCACUCACGUUCAUGAGAGUACAUGCAUACAGUUGGCUAUACAGCAGAGGUUUUCACACCCCUUAAACUUUUUCAUGUUCUACACUAUAACCGCAAACCUUUAUUUGAAUUUGAUGUGAUAGUCCAAUUUUUUAUUUUUUUUUACAAAACAAAUCACAAAGGUGCUAUUUGGCCUGCUUAAACAUGAACUUUCCCUUUAGUUUCAAUUCUUUCCUCACUUCUCUAUUUAGCUUCAUCCAUUGGGCCAACUUCUCUGUCCCUGUUAAAGAAAAGCAUCCCGACAUGUUUCACCAUGGGGUUGGUGUGUUAAGGGUUCUUCCACAUGUUUUCUGUGUCCUUACAUGGCUUGUGGUACACUGCAAACAGGACUGUGUGUGACUAGAUUUGUGGAGUACACAUUUAAUAGCUGUCCUAUCAACUGAUUUUCCCACCUGAGCUAGGGAUCUUUGCGGCUCCACCAGAGUUACCAUGGUCCUCUUGACUGCUUUCCCUGAUUGAUGCUCUCCUUGCCCAGCCUGUGAAGUUUAGUCGGACGGCCAUGUCUUGGUAGGUCUCCAGUGGAGCCAAAAUCUAUCCAUCUUGAGAUGAUGGAUUGAACAGAACUCUGUGAGAUAUUUAAAGCUUGGGAUAUUGUUUUAUAACCCAACUUCUCCACUAACAUCUUUCAAACGUCUCCACUACUUUAUUCCUGACUUCUCUACUGUGUUCCCUGGUCUUCAUAAUGCUUUUUCUUCACUAAUUUUACCUAAAAAACCUCUGAGGUUUGAUUUUCAUCCAGUCUGAUAGGCUUUUUCCUUUAGGAGCACAACGCUGACAGAUGGAGUGAUCCAGCUCUAAAUCCUUCAGCCUAUCUGUUUAAACCAGAAUAUGAUUGUCCACAAGCCACAAUGGAUGUUAAUAUGAAUGCAGAGGCUGAUGCAAACAGUGGUGAGAACCAUGAUCGUGUUCGGGACUGGUUCAAAUUUAUUCAUAUUUCCAUCUACAUGCUUGCCUCCUGUAAACGCCAUGUUCUGCUGAUUUAGCCUCAACUCAUUAUAUGACCGGCCUGCACAGCAGUCUUACAAAUGACAAACAAAUCCUUUCAACACUCAGCAAAGUGCACAGAGUUUACUUCAUUUGACGACUCAUGCAGAACAGAACCGAAUACUGGGUUCUAAAAUUCCGCUCUUCAUGUUGAAGUUAAUAACGUACUUUGGUUCAUGUUUCAUGUGCAGUUAUGGUCGGGUUACCUGGCAUCGUAAGUCUGUAUGCUUGUCAAUUCCUCUGGGUAGUUUUAGGAGACGAUGAAGCGGUUUUGCAGAUUCUGGAUGGUUUAUAUUUGAAAAUAAAAUCUGGUCCGUCCGUCAUGGUCCUCUUUAUGAGCUGCUUCCCUAUGUUCUGUUGUUGCUGAUUUCUCAACAUAUGGUUCAACAGAUUUGCUACAGACCUACAUAAAGCAAUGAGUCCCCUCUGAAGAACAAAUAUGGAAAAAGAAACAUAAACUAACACCUGAUGUGACAUCUUUGAGUCAACUCCACAUAAUAUGAAAGUUGGUUUGUUGUGAGGGUGACUUUUACCUGGUCAAAUCAUGAUUUACAAUCAAGCAACAAAACAAAUUGAAAAACAGACUUGGCAUUUUGUUUUAUAGAAAGCAACAUAUAUGCUGUGUGAGUUUGACUCAUUUUAAAGUUUUGUGACCAGUAAUGUUAAAUAAAAUAUCAAAUUGUUAUUACAUUUUACCCUUAUAUGCAUUUUGCUUCCUCUUAACUUUAACGUCAGUAUCCCUUCUGCAAGAACAGAGAAAUUUGUUCUUUUACCCAAGGCUCCGAGAACAACAACAGAGUUAUUUCUGGCUGGGACAUUUUAUACUUUACAAAAACUCAAGUGCAGAACUCCUGGGAAGUUUUCAUAGGUCUCUCCUACUGCAGCAUACAUCCUUUAUGUUUCCCUGACAUCCCACAAGAAAAACAUUCUGCCCAGAAUAUGUGCCAAGAUACAAGAGUUCCUAGACCAGAGAUCUUUGUACAGAACUAUGACAUUAUGUUGUCGCAGCUCUGAGAGGGAGAAAAAGUUGUCUAUGUUUUGUGGAGUUUGUACUUAAACUGUGUUAACAGAUGACAAAAAUGUGAUUCUCAAAAACAAAAUUUGUAUUCCUUAAAGAACUGAAGGAAAUGGAGGGCUGUGCCAUCUGAUUAUUUUAUUGUGCAUUCAGUGUGAUCCUAUUUAUACAGUAGAAGGCUUUGAGAAAUUACUAUGGUAAAAUUAAACUUUGUAAAUCUAAUUGUUGAGGAUAUGUUGUUUACUCCAGCGACACUCAAGGUGUUACAUACUGUAUUUUUAUAAAUGCAUUCUUGGCUCACUUGCUGACUGAAAACAAGGUGUGUAAAUGUGGAAAGCAAAAAUGAGCAAACAUGGAAAAUAUAUAAGGGAGGCCAAUGGCACACAGGUGGACAGUGAAAUUGAACGCUGCUGGAUAAGGAGGCAAGAGUUGCAAUGAGGAGGGGUGAUGGCAGUUGCAGGGUUGUCUUUCUUAAAAGUCUACCCUUGUGUCACAGCGCCCCUGACAUCAAAUAUACCAUAUUACGUUGAUCUAUGGAGACCCAAUGAGGACAACUCCGUUAAAUGAUUUAUCUCUUUAUGAGAUUAAAGGAGGCCAAGGCCUCCUCCAAACAAAUACAAGCUCUGAAGGUCAACAUGAAUCUUAAACUGAAAGAUUUAAACUCAUCCAACCUUCAGAACAUAGACCUGAACAAAAAGACCACAGCCUCUAAAUUUUACCAUGAUUUUCUGCCAUGACUGAUAAAGGAGUUUCCUCUGCACAUAUGCUUUGUUGCAAAUGUACAGCAAUAUCAGACAACACUCUAAACACAUUAGCGCAAACCGUCUGUCAGACUUUCAUGCAGACCGGAUUAUUUGGAGCACUGACAUGUUACUGGCAUCUUUCAGGAUUCCACAGCCGUGAUGAAAUCCCUUUUUUGGGAACAUUAAGGUCAGUUAUUUUUUCCUGUUUGCUUUGCAAAUUGUAAGCAUGGACGUAACAGUUAAUCAAGUACAUGAAUGCUUGAACCACUUUCUUUUUCUUUUUUUUUUUACGAAGCCCUGUCACAUCCAGUGGUUUCAUUCCUGUUUCUUUGACCUUUACACUCCUGCCUAUUAGUCACUUUGUAAGGUUUUUGGUCAAGGAAUGCAGGCUUGUUUCAUUGUUGCUUUAUUUUGCAGAAAUGGGAUAAUUUAACAGUUUUGCAUGCAAAAAACAAACUCAAAUAUGUAGAAGUGGAUUAAAAUUUCUGACAAACAAACAGUCUUCCUCAUUUUUCUCUUGUCUACCGGGUUAUUCUGCUGCCUGCCAAAGGUCAAUUGCAGACAUGAAAAGGUCUCUUUUUUUCUCCCCCCAAGAAUUGCCUACUUUUGUUUUCCUUUUACAAGAGUUAGCUCCUUUUAUAAGUAUUAGCCAGUGUUUUCGCUAACAUGCUUUGCUGUUUUUGGUCUGUCUUGCAAUGAAAACACUCAUUUAAAUUCAUUUGGAAAUGAGUGGGUGAGAGACAAAGUGGUGCAUGGGCGAGAUACGAUCAGGGCCGUGGAACAUGAGGGUUUUGAAACGAGCUAAGACUCCAACAUGGGCAAAAGAGUUCUAAAUCAGGGUAAAGCAUCCAGAGGAAUGUAGCUUCACAUGUCUUGCAGUUCAUUCGACAUGGGAAUAUUUGUCUCACUUAUAAAAAUCAGUACUCGAGAGUGUCUGGUGAUGUUAAUGGAGAAGUGAGACAAAGGAGAAAAAUGACUUUUAUUUGAUGUCUUCUGUUCUUCUAAAGCAGGGGAGAAGAAUUGUGACUCAUACUGGCUUACUCACACCUUGUUAUUAUUAAACUUACUUGAUUUGUGUGGGACCGUGGAACCCA